GACGAACGCUGGCGGCGUGCUUAACACAUGCAAGUCGAACGCUGAAGCUCAGCUUUUGUUGGGUGGAUGAGUGGCGAACGGGUGAGUAACACGUGAGUAACCUGCCUCCUUCUUUGGGAUAACGCCCGGAAACGGGUGCUGAUACUGGAUAUUCACUGGUCUUCGCAUGGGGGUUGGUGGAAAGGGUUUUUCUGGUGGGGGAUGGGCUCGCGGCCUAUCAGCUUGUUGGUGGGGUGAUGGCCUACCAAGGCUUUGACGGGUAGCCGGCCUGAGAGGGUGACCGGUCACAUUGGGACUGAGAUACGGCCCAGACUCCUACGGGAGGCAGCAGUGGGGAAUAUUGCACAAUGGGCGCAAGCCUGAUGCAGCGACGCCGCGUGAGGGAUGGAGGCCUUCGGGUUGUGAACCUCUUUCGCUCAUGGUCAAGCCGCAACAAUGGUUGUGGUGAGGGUAGUGGGUAAAGAAGCGCCGGCUAACUACGUG
RNAcentral lists this ribosomal RNA (483 nucleotides) under uncultured bacterium. RNAcentral describes it as "partial 16S ribosomal RNA". It matches the Rfam family "Bacterial small subunit ribosomal RNA", at positions 28 to 507 of the family's 1533-position model. The record is from RNAcentral.